GGGUUGUGAGGUUAAGCGACUAAGCGUACACGGUGGAUGCCCUGGCAGUCAGAGGCGAUGAAGGACGUGCUAAUCUGCGAUAAGCGUCGGUAAGGUGAUAUGAACCGUUAUAACCGGCGAUUUCCGAAUGGGGAAACCCAGUGUGAUUCGUCACACUAUCAUUAACUGAAUCCAUAGGUUAAUGAGGCGAACCGGGGGAACUGAAACAUCUAAGUACCCCGAGGAAAAGAAAUCAACCGAGAUUCCCCCAGUAGCGGCGAGCGAACGGGGAGCAGCCCAGAGCCUGAAUCAGUGUGUGUGUUAGUGGAAGCGUCUGGAAAGGCGUGCGAUACAGGGUGACAGCCCCGUACACAAAAAUGCACAUACUGUGAGCUCGAUGAGUAGGGCGGGACACGUGGUAUCCUGUCUGAAUAUGGGGGGACCAUCCUCCAAGGCUAAAUACUCCUGACUGACCGAUAGUGAACCAGUACCGUGAGGGAAAGGCGAAAAGAACCCCGGCGAGGGGAGUGAAAAAGAACCUGAAACCGUGUACGUACAAGCAGUGGGAGCACGCUUAGGCGUGUGACUGCGUACCUUUUGUAUAAUGGGUCAGCGACUUAUAUUCUGUAGCAAGGUUAACCGAAUAGGGGAGCCGAAGGGAAACCGAGUCUUAACUGGGCGUUAAGUUGCAGGGUAUAGACCCGAAACCCGGUGAUCUAGCCAUGGGCAGGUUGAAGGUUGGGUAACACUAACUGGAGGACCGAACCGACUAAUGUUGAAAAAUUAGCGGAUGACUUGUGGCUGGGGGUGAAAGGCCAAUCAAACCGGGAGAUAGCUGGUUCUCCCCGAAAGCUAUUUAGGUAGCGCCUCGUGAAUUCAUCUCCGGGGGUAGAGCACUGUUUCGGCAAGGGGGUCAUCCCGACUUACCAACCCGAUGCAAACUGCGAAUACCGGAGAAUGUUAUCACGGGAGACACACGGCGGGUGCUAACGUCCGUCGUGAAGAGGGAAACAACCCAGACCGCCAGCUAAGGUCCCAAAGUCAUGGUUAAGUGGGAAACGAUGUGGGAAGGCCCAGACAGCCAGGAUGUUGGCUUAGAAGCAGCCAUCAUUUAAAGAAAGCGUAAUAGCUCACUGGUCGAGUCGGCCUGCGCGGAAGAUGUAACGGGGCUAAACCAUGCACCGAAGCUGCGGCAGCGACGCUUAUGCGUUGUUGGGUAGGGGAGCGUUCUGUAAGCCUGUGAAGGUGUGCUGUGAGGUAUGCUGGAGGUAUCAGAAGUGCGAAUGCUGACAUAAGUAACGAUAAAGCGGGUGAAAAGCCCGCUCGCCGGAAGACCAAGG
This 1319-nucleotide ribosomal RNA is filed under the name Shigella flexneri. Its description in RNAcentral is "partial 23S ribosomal RNA". It matches the Rfam family "Bacterial large subunit ribosomal RNA", at positions 1 to 1350 of the family's 2925-position model. The record is from RNAcentral. Lineage: Bacteria; Pseudomonadati; Pseudomonadota; Gammaproteobacteria; Enterobacterales; Enterobacteriaceae.